RNAcentral lists this non-coding RNA (178 nucleotides) under Bacillus sp. (in: firmicutes). The record is from RNAcentral. Lineage: Bacteria; Bacillati; Bacillota; Bacilli; Caryophanales; Bacillaceae.
ACAUACCGUGUAAGAAGAGGUACCACGUAAAGUGUGUUUAAAAGGGAAACUGGUGCAAAUCCAGUACUGUCCCGCAACUGUAAUUCGGAGCAACUCUUAUUAUUGCCACUGAGUAAUUGGGAAGGCAAGAGAAGCGAUGAUGAUAAGUCAGGAGACCUGCCUCAUUCUAGUACACACC